ACAGGUGCUGCAUGGCUGUCGUCAGCUCGUGUCGUGAGAUGUUCGGUUAAGUCCGCUAACGAGCGCAACCCUCGUCGUGUGUUAUACGUGUCACACGAUACUGCCGGUAUCAAGCCGGAGGAAGUGGGAUGAUGUCAAGUCAGCAUGGCCUUUAUAUCCUGGGCUACACACACGCUACAAUGGCAGAUACAAUAGGUUGCGAAACCGCGAGGUGGAGCCAAUCCUCAAAGUCUGUCUCAGUUCAGAUUGUAGGCUGCAACUCGCCUGCAUGAAGUUGGAGUUGCUAGUAAACGCAGGUCAGCUAUACUGCGUUGAAUACGUUCCCGGGUUU
Molecule: ribosomal RNA, 331 nt
Filed under: uncultured Leptolinea sp.
Lineage: Bacteria; Bacillati; Chloroflexota; Anaerolineae; Anaerolineales; Anaerolineaceae
Description: bacterial SSU rRNA
Rfam family: Bacterial small subunit ribosomal RNA
Source: RNAcentral